UUAAAGGAGUCAUAUUAUACCCUAUUUCAACAAGUUAAUCUAGUUCCCUGGUGUCCUAAUGUAAUGUCUGUGACAUGCUUUGGUCAAAAUACCAUAAGGAUGAAGCACAAUAGCAGUUCAAUCACCCUGCCAAAACAGCCCUGUUCAGAACGGUAGGAUUUGAGUGCCUGUCUCUUUAAAUGCAAAUGAGACACAGGCAAUCCACCCACUUCUUCCGGGAGGUGUGCCGACGUCGGCACGCUUACGCUACCAUGACAACAGUUGAACGUGAACCCUGGGAGAAAGAUGGCAGCUGGAAGAAACUUUUCGGUCCAACCUUAUAUGUUUGAACCAGAGUCAGACCCUGAACAAGAAGGAGCUAGCGAAGAAGUUGUUCAAUGUAGACUGCAACAAGACGUUUCUGAAUGGUGUACUUGUGAGAAUUGCACAGCAAUGCCUACAGAGCCAGAGAAUGUCUGCUGCAGGGAGAUACCACAGGUGAUAAGAAGACUAAAUCAGCUUCAAAACCCACCUUCCUGCAUGGUAGACCACCCUGGCCUCGAACCAGUGUGUUUAAAUGCAUUCUCACUGCAGAAGGAACUAAAUAUCUACAGAGUAUGGGCGUUUACGUCUGAGGGGAAUAGAACACCGUUACAGGUACUUGGCCUAUAGGGGCUUUGUGAGCUGGUGUUGGGGCUUUCUGGGCCGAAGAGUUCGUGUGGCACUGCCCAGCUGUGUGGUGCUGCGUAUACGGGCGGAGUUCCCCGACGCUCAAGGCAUCUACGUGGGGUUCAGACCGGCCCUUGACUGAACCUCGUCACGUAGCGGUCUAUCACCUCCUUCUUGUCCGGCCUUUCAAACUGUGCAGUGAGAUCCUCAGGAAUGGAGAUCUUCAACACCUCAUCUGUGUAUGGACCAGGGUCCAGAAAAACCUUCUCAAACACCAGGUCCAAGAUUUCAUCCACGUAAUCUGCAACAAGAAAAAGUACAAUAUUGUGUUUAUCUAUAGUGUUUAUUUAUUAUUUAUUCAAAACACAGAAAAAGCCAUAGACACUGGUUAAUUUAUAUUUUAUUUAUUUAACAAAUAUUUUAUAGUUUCAUUUUUCAGUGUGAUUUUCAAUAAAAAAGGUUUAAAACUUA
Molecule: long non-coding RNA, 1119 nt
Organism: Dicentrarchus labrax (European seabass)
Lineage: Eukaryota; Metazoa; Chordata; Actinopteri; Moronidae
Exons: 4
Source: RefSeq, a predicted model, not a curated record